RNAcentral lists this long non-coding RNA (2038 nucleotides) under Homo sapiens (human). RNAcentral describes it as "long non-coding RNA NONHSAT185203.1". Lineage: Eukaryota; Metazoa; Chordata; Mammalia; Primates; Hominidae. The record is from RNAcentral.
GGAAUUGAUGUUGAUGCUGAAAAUUGUGCAGUGUGUAUUGAAAAUUUCAAAGUAAAGGAUAUUAUUAGAAUUCUGCCAUGCAAGCAUAUUUUUCAUAGAAUAUGCAUUGACCCAUGGCUUUUGGAUCACCGAACAUGUCCAAUGUGUAAACUUGAUGUCAUCAAAGCCCUAGGAUAUUGGGGAGAGCCUGGGGAUGUACAGGAGAUGCCUGCUCCAGAAUCUCCUCCUGGAAGGGAUCCAGCUGCAAAUUUGAGUCUAGCUUUACCAGAUGAUGACGGAAGUGAUGACAGCAGUCCACCAUCAGCCUCCCCUGCUGAAUCUGAGCCACAGUGUGAUCCCAGCUUUAAAGGAGAUGCAGGAGAAAAUACGGCAUUGCUAGAAGCCGGCAGGAGUGACUCUCGGCAUGGAGGACCCAUCUCCUAGCACACGUGCCCACUGAAGUGGCACCAACAGAAGUUUGGCUUGAACUAAAGGACAUUUUAUUUUUUUUACUUUAGCACAUAAUUUGUAUAUUUGAAAAUAAUGUAUAUUAUUUUACCUAUUAGAUUCUGAUUUGAUAUACAAAGGACUAAGAUAUUUUCUUCUUGAAGAGACUUUUCGAUUAGUCCUCAUAUAUUUAUCUACUAAAAUAGAGUGUUUACCAUGAACAGUGUGUUGCUUCAGACUAUUACAAAGACAACUGGGGCAGGUACUCUAAUAUAAAGGACAGGUGGUGUUUCUAAAUAAUUGGCUGCUAUGGUUCUGUAAAAACCAGUUAAUUCUAUUUUUCAAGGUUUUUGGCAAAGCACAUCAAUGUUAGACUAGUUGAAGUGGAAUUGUAUAAUUCAAUUCGAUAAUUGAUCUCAUGGGCUUUCCCUGGAGGAAAGGUUUUUUUUGUUGUUUUUUUUUUAAGAACUUGAAACUUGUAAACUGAGAUGUCUGUAGCUUUUUUGCCCAUCUGUAGUGUAUGUGAAGAUUUCAAAACCUGAGAGCACUUUUUCUUUGUUUAGAAUUAUGAGAAAGGCACUAGAUGACUUUAGGAUUUGCAUUUUUCCCUUUAUUGCCUCAUUUCUUGUGACGCCUUGUUGGGGAGGGAAAUCUGUUUAUUUUUUCCUACAAAUAAAAAGCUAAGAUUCUAUAUCGCACAUGAGCAUUAAGUUCUUCAUUGCCUUGUUAAGGAAAAUGAGUAGGCAGACUCAGAAUCUGUUAUAUUGAUUUCAGUUACAAUUUAAUCUUUACAAUUAAAAGGGCGAAAGAUGUAGAAUUUUAGUUUUUGUUGUUGACUCGAAAUAACCAGUUUUCUUGAUUAGAGUUUAAGCAGAUUUAAUACCAUGACCUUGCUUAACCGUUUCUUCUUUUUUACUUGCUUGCUGUUCUUUUGGGUCAAAGGAGCAGGCUAAUGCAAAGCUUUUGGAGACUGCUAAGUGUUAAAAAGUGAUUAAACACACACUCUGCUAUUUUUUCACUUCUUGGAGGUAGAAGUCGAGUAUGAGGCAGUUAUUUUUUAGAGUGUGGAAUUAUAGUCUUUCCUUGCUCCUAGUUAUUCUGUAUAUCUUUACUUUGUAGGUAAAAAUAAAUGUUUAUUUAAAACAAUUUUUAAAAUUAUAAAUUUAUUUUUAUAGCCAUAUGUAGGAUAUAAAGAUUUAUAUAGAUUAUUUUCUCAAGCUACUUAAUGCUUUAAUUCUAGCUACUCAUCAUGAAAUAGUAAACAGUUUUACUGAAAUAAACUCUACAGACAGAUGCAGUAUGAGGAGCUAUUGAAGUAGAAAAUGUAUUUCGCUUUGCACACUGAGUUGGUUUUAGCAGACAACCUCAAGUAGGUUUCCAUAACAGCCAUUACCUUUGAAAUCUACCUUCUGUAGUUUAUUAUAAAUAGGAAAAUACAUCCUGAUUCUGUAGCAAGUAGAUUGUUUGCUCUUUGUCUUUAAGAAAUACUAGGAGGGCCGGGCGCGGUGGCUCACGCCUGUAAUCCCAGCACUUUGGGAGGCCGAGGCGGGCGGAUCACGAGGUCAGGAGAUCGAGACCAUCCCGGCUAAAACGGUGAAACCCCGUCUCUACU